RNAcentral lists this ribosomal RNA (1503 nucleotides) under Staphylococcus aureus F42556. RNAcentral's name for it is "bacterial LSU rRNA". It matches the Rfam family "Bacterial large subunit ribosomal RNA", at positions 1424 to 2925 of the family's 2925-position model. Lineage: Bacteria; Bacillati; Bacillota; Bacilli; Caryophanales; Staphylococcaceae. The record is from RNAcentral.
AACAGGUUGAUAUUCCUGUACCACCUAUAAUCGUUUUAAUCGAUGGGGGGACGCAGUAGGAUAGGCGAAGCGUGCGAUUGGAUUGCACGUCUAAGCAGUAAGGCUGAGUAUUAGGCAAAUCCGGUACUCAUUAAGGCUGAGCUGUGAUGGGGAGAAGACAUUGUGUCUUCGAGUCGUUGAUUUCACACUGCCGAGAAAAGCCUCUAGAUAGAAAAUAGGUGCCCGUACCGCAAACCGACACAGGUAGUCAAGAUGAGAAUUCUAAGGUGAGCGAGCGAACUCUCGUUAAGGAACUCGGCAAAAUGACCCCGUAACUUCGGGAGAAGGGGUGCUCUUUAGGGUUAACGCCCAGAAGAGCCGCAGUGAAUAGGCCCAAGCGACUGUUUAUCAAAAACACAGGUCUCUGCUAAACCGUAAGGUGAUGUAUAGGGGCUGACGCCUGCCCGGUGCUGGAAGGUUAAGAGGAGUGGUUAGCUUCUGCGAAGCUACGAAUCGAAGCCCCAGUAAACGGCGGCCGUAACUAUAACGGUCCUAAGGUAGCGAAAUUCCUUGUCGGGUAAGUUCCGACCCGCACGAAAGGCGUAACGAUUUGGGCACUGUCUCAACGAGAGACUCGGUGAAAUCAUAGUACCUGUGAAGAUGCAGGUUACCCGCGACAGGACGGAAAGACCCCGUGGAGCUUUACUGUAGCCUGAUAUUGAAAUUCGGCACAGCUUGUACAGGAUAGGUAGGAGCCUUUGAAACGUGAGCGCUAGCUUACGUGGAGGCGCUGGUGGGAUACUACCCUAGCUGUGUUGGCUUUCUAACCCGCACCACUUAUCGUGGUGGGAGACAGUGUCAGGCGGGCAGUUUGACUGGGGCGGUCGCCUCCUAAAAGGUAACGGAGGCGCUCAAAGGUUCCCUCAGAAUGGUUGGAAAUCAUUCAUAGAGUGUAAAGGCAUAAGGGAGCUUGACUGCGAGACCUACAAGUCGAGCAGGGUCGAAAGACGGACUUAGUGAUCCGGUGGUUCCGCAUGGAAGGGCCAUCGCUCAACGGAUAAAAGCUACCCCGGGGAUAACAGGCUUAUCUCCCCCAAGAGUUCACAUCGACGGGGAGGUUUGGCACCUCGAUGUCGGCUCAUCGCAUCCUGGGGCUGUAGUCGGUCCCAAGGGUUGGGCUGUUCGCCCAUUAAAGCGGUACGCGAGCUGGGUUCAGAACGUCGUGAGACAGUUCGGUCCCUAUCCGUCGUGGGCGUAGGAAAUUUGAGAGGAGCUGUCCUUAGUACGAGAGGACCGGGAUGGACAUACCUCUGGUGUACCAGUUGUCGUGCCAACGGCAUAGCUGGGUAGCUAUGUGUGGACGGGAUAAGUGCUGAAAGCAUCUAAGCAUGAAGCCCCCCUCAAGAUGAGAUUUCCCAACUUCGGUUAUAAGAUCCCUCAAAGAUGAUGAGGUUAAUAGGUUCGAGGUGGAAGCAUGGUGACAUGUGGAGCUGACGAAUACUAAUCGAUCGAAGACUUAAUCAA